RNAcentral lists this ribosomal RNA (506 nucleotides) under uncultured Glomeromycotina. Its description in RNAcentral is "SSU rRNA". It matches the Rfam family "Eukaryotic small subunit ribosomal RNA", at positions 569 to 1078 of the family's 1831-position model. Lineage: Eukaryota; Fungi; Glomeromycota. The record is from RNAcentral.
AGCAGCCGCGGUAAUUCCAGCUCCAAUAGCGUAUAUUAAAGUUGUUGCAGUUAAAAAGCUCGUAGUUGAAUUUCGGGAUCAGUACGCUGGUCAUGCCUUUGGUAUGCACUGGUGUCACUGGUUUCUCCCUUCUGAAGAUCCGUGAUGUCAUUAAUUUGGUGUCGCGGGGAAUCAGGACUGUUACUUUGAAAAAAUUAGAGUGUUUAAAGCAGGCAUACGCUUGAAUACAUUAGCAUGGAAUAAUGAAAUAGGACGUUUGAUUCUAUUUUGUUGGUUUCUAGGAUCGACGUAAUGAUUAAUAGGGAUAGUUGGGGGCAUUAGUAUUCAAUUGUCAGAGGUGAAAUUCUUGGAUUUAUUGAAGACUAACUACUGCGAAAGCAUUUGCCAAGGAUGUUUUCAUUAAUCAAGAACGAAAGUUAGGGGAUCGAAGACGAUCAGAUACCGUCGUAGUCUUAACCAUAAACUAUGCCGACUAGGGAUCGGAUGAUGUUAUUUUUAAUGACUCA